This 571-nucleotide ribosomal RNA is filed under the name uncultured fungus. RNAcentral describes it as "eukaryotic LSU rRNA". It matches the Rfam family "Eukaryotic large subunit ribosomal RNA", at positions 68 to 655 of the family's 3401-position model. The record is from RNAcentral. Lineage: Eukaryota; Fungi.
ACAGGGAUUGCCUUAGUACGGCGAGUGAAGCGGCAAUAGCUCAAAUUUGAAAGCUGGCGCCUUCGACGUCCGCGUUGUAAUUUGUAGAGGAUGCUUCGGCGAAGACUCCUGCCUAAGUCCCCUGGAACGGGGCGUCAUAGAGGGUGAGAAUCCCGUAUGUGGCGGGCAGUCUAAGCCAUGUGAAGCUCCUUCGACGAGUCGAGUUGUUUGGGAAUGCAGCUCUGAAUGGGAGGUAAAUUUCUUCUAAAGCUAAAUAUUGGCCAGAGACCGAUAGCGCACAAGUAGAGUGAUCGAAAGAUGAAAAGCACUUUGGAAAGAGAGUUAAAAAGUACGUGAAAUUGUUGAAAGGGAAGCGCUUGCAACCAGACUCGCUCGUAGUUGCUCAGCCGGCCUCUUGGCCGGUGUACUCUUCUACGAUCGGGCCAGCAUCAGUUCGGGCGGCAGGAUAAAGGUGUCGGGAAUGUAGCACCCUUCGGGGUGUGUUAUAGCCCGGCGCGGAAUGCUGCCAGCCUGGACUGAGGAUCUCGCUUCGGCAAGGAUGCUGGCGUAAUGGUUGUAAGCGGCCCGUCUG